Molecule: long non-coding RNA, 1718 nt
Filed under: Homo sapiens (human)
Lineage: Eukaryota; Metazoa; Chordata; Mammalia; Primates; Hominidae
Description: HSALNT0309487
Source: RNAcentral
GGCAUGGGGAGGAUCAGGACCAGAGUCAGAGAGAAAACUUUCAGCCACAGGGGUUUAUGGAUGCCUCAGGAUAGGUGAGGCUGCUCCCAAGAAGGAGGUCCUGAGGGAGCAGGAGGUGAGCUCAGCUGCACACAGAGGACUCAGUUGGGGAGACUCCCUCAAAAGUGGCAGCCACCCUGAGUCACUAAGUCUGUGACUCACCUCUGGCAGAGAGGAGGCAGGACAAGUAACAAAGCUGGUGCUUCCUGGGAUGUUAUCUGUGGGCCAGUCCCUGGUUUGCAAAUCCCUUCCGUGCAUGAACUUAUCUAAAGCCCUAUGAGGUGGAGCUAGUACCGGCACUAUCCCAUACUGCAGAUGGAGAAAUUGAGGCCCUGUGCGGUGGGGGUUAUUCCAGACUCUUCGGCCAGGACACAGGCAUUUGGCUAAACCUAGUGUUUGUGGCAGGGUCUGUUCUGAUUGGCCGAUGCCUGUCCUACUGGUUAGUCAAUGUUUUGAAGGUCACCCUGGUUACACAGCUGGAGGAGGCAGAAUCCCAACUAACCCCUGGGGCUGGAGCCCUGGUCUGAACCAGGAUCCUCUCUCCGUCUAGCGCCGCAGCGCACCUCAGGACAAGUAAUGUGCGUCGAAGGGCUUUGGAAACUGCAAGGCACAGUAUAAAUAACAGGUUCCUUCAUUCCUCCUGGGCAGGAACUUUGGCCUCAACAGUUCCUUCUUUGUUGAGGCCAAAGAAGCUGGGCCAUGAGAAGGCAGAGGAAACGCUGCUGUGGGGAACCAGCAUUCUCUCUGCUUACUCAACGGGGAAAGUGAGUCAGAAGGGAAGCCUCCCUGAGUGGAGCCCCAUGGUCAGCCCCUGGGAGGUUCUCACGUGCCAGACGCCAUCCGGCACUAACCAGGUUAGCCUGGACUUGUCCCCAGGGCCCGUCCAGGCUCUCCUGCAACUGGCCACCAGGGGGCGCCGCUCCCCCAGCCUUCCUCUUACUGAACCUACCCCCCACCACCCCCCCAACAACCUGCUCGCGAGAAACCAGGCCUUGGAAGGAGUCCCGGGGAGCAGGCACCAGAGACUUUGAAAAGUGGCAAAAACGCGGGAGAUGCUGAGUGGAGCCCUGUGGAGGAGUGCCUGCUCCCAUUUUACAGAUGAGGAAUUUGAGGCCCAAAGAUGUUGGGUAAGAUCAAGAGGCUAGGGACAGGCAGCGCUGCGUCAUUUGCUUCCAAGGUCAGUUCCUAAUGGGACCACAAGCAAAUGCUAGCUCAUUUGGCCCUGUUGCCUAGCGGGGUCUCCCCCCCCGCCCCCCGUUGAUCCUAUGUUCUGAGUCGUGGCCAACACCACAACCUAUUCCCCCACUGUGUUCCAGCAACAAUUCCAGCUGCCCCUUCUCCAACCUGAACUUUCUGGAAGCCUGGGCACCUGCUUCAUUGUUUUCCAGGGACCCCCAUCAGCCACCCAUCCCACACCCUCCCCAUCUGGGCAGAGCCGGGAGCCCCCUCUGCAGCCCUGUCCUGCUUGACAUCCCUUCCCCACCCCAGGGACCCCGCGGGGUCAGGCUUUGCUCCUCGACACCCCACGGUAGGCAGCAGCACGAAUAAACAAUGGGACAUUUGAACCAGGAAGAGCCUGUGGUUGAGGCCAAAACAGGCACCAAGGUUUUCUCUCAGCUCCUACCAACUCCUUUUAUGGCCUCUGGGCCCAGUUCCUUCUUCAUAAAAAGUCAGAACUG